This 102-nucleotide non-coding RNA is filed under the name Bacillus sp. (in: firmicutes). Its description in RNAcentral is "Bacillus sp. SAM-I sequence". It matches the Rfam family "SAM riboswitch aptamer (S box leader)". From Rfam's summary of the family: The SAM riboswitch is found upstream of a number of genes which code for proteins involved in methionine or cysteine biosynthesis in Gram-positive bacteria. The SAM riboswitch acts at the level of transcription termination control. The predicted structure consists of a complex stem-loop region followed by a single stem loop terminator region. Lineage: Bacteria; Bacillati; Bacillota; Bacilli; Caryophanales; Bacillaceae. The record is from RNAcentral. RNAcentral also lists the same sequence under 1 other name.
UUCUUAUCAAGAGAGGUGGAGGGAAUGGCCCUAAGAAACCUCGGCAACAGGCCUAAAAAGGUACUGUGCUAAAUCCAGCAGGCGAAGCCUGAGAGAUAAGAA